UACGAAGGGGGCUAGCGUUGCUCGGAAUCACUGGGCGUAAAGGGCGUGUAGGCGGGACAGUAAGUCGGGCGUGAAAUCCCUGGGCUCAACCCAGGAACUGCACUCGAAACUACUAUUCUUGAGUGUCGGAGAGGAAAGCGGAAUUCCUGGUGUAGAGGUGAAAUUCGUAGAUAUCAGGAGGAACACCAGUGGCGAAGGCGGCUUUCUGGACGAUAACUGACGCUGA
RNAcentral lists this ribosomal RNA (226 nucleotides) under uncultured bacterium. RNAcentral's name for it is "partial 16S ribosomal RNA". It matches the Rfam family "Bacterial small subunit ribosomal RNA", at positions 524 to 749 of the family's 1533-position model. The record is from RNAcentral.